AAAGAGUCAAACCACAGCUAUUCUUUCUUAUCACAGUUCCCAUCAUAAAUAAUAACCCAAGAAGACAUUCAGAAUAUUAGAGUCUAUUUUCUACUGGGAGACUGAAUUUGGAAAGAAUAUUGAGAAAAAACAUUUUGACCAGAAAUAGAUGAUGAUCACUCUUUAUAGAUGGAUUAAGUUCCCUUAGAUACAUGGGCUCAGUCCUUACCAGUAGACUGAAGCCAAUAAUCUGUCAAGUGUGGGUAAUGGGAACCCCCACAUGGUUGCUGCUGGUGCCUCACCUCUCUGGAUUAUGUUUACUUUAAGAUUUAUGUUAAAAAUAGAGACUUCAUGUGGAAGAAAUGGAUUGACUUAGUUAGCCAAGACCAUCACUACAUAUAUUCUGAGGACCUAGUAGAAUUCACAGGUUAUGGCAUUAUAUGUUAAAGCUAAACAAAACAAAACCUGAGUGAAACUAUGAACUAUGAAACAUGCCACACCAAGACAGAACAUUUUUUAAAAGAAUGGACCUAUUUAUACAUUUUCAAUUGGAAAAUAUUUAUUAUAUAUUUAUUUAUUAAAGAGUUUAUUUUUUACUGGGAUAUGAAGAUAAUACAAAGAGUAAAAAACAACAAACGUUUCUUUAUUGUGCCAUUACUUUAUUGUGGUGUCUUGCUUUGUAAAGAAGACGUUACUAUACCACGUUAACCAUAGAGAUUUAGAAUUUCUUUUUAAAAACAAACAUACUGUAGAUUAUAUUUUUUAUGCAACCAAUUGCCUUGCCUUCUAAAUGUAACAUUGGUUCCUUUUGGCCUAAGAAAAAUGCUUUCUCCUAUUUAUAUAACAUUUAAAAAAUGAAAAGAUUCUAAAUGUCCUAGAGAAAGACUUUGGUAUUUGAAGAACUUCUAAUGUUGAAAAGUAUUGAACAUUAUAAUCAACUUAUGUUUACUUAUCUUCUUAAUUCAGUGUGGCAAAGACCAUUUCUUUCGCCCAGUAUGAUUGUAGAAAGAAUGAGUCUUUGUGGCACCUCCAUUAACAAUGGUCAAAAGAGAUGGGUCUCAUUUCAUUCUUCUACAUAUCGAUAUCCAGUUUUCAAAACACCAUUUAUUAAAGAGAAUAUCUUUUCCUCAAUGUAUGUUCUUGGCAUGUUUGUUAAAAUGAGUUCACUUUAGGUAUGUGGAUUUGUUACUGGCUUAUCUAAUCUGUGUCAUUGGUCUAUGUGUCUGUUUUUAUGCUAGUACCAUGCUGUUUUAGUACUAUAGCUCUGUAGCAUAAUUUGAAGUCAGGUAAUGUGAUUCCUCCAGUUUUGUUCUUUUUACUCAGGAUAGUGAUAGCUAUUCUGGGUCUUUUGUGAUUCCAUAUAAAUUUUAGUAUUUUUUUCUAUUUCUGUCAAGAAUGUCAUCGGUAUUUUGAUAGGAGUUACAUUGAAUCUGUAGAUUGCUUUAGGUAGUAUGGACAUUUUAACAAUAUUGAUACUUCCAAUUCAUAAACAUGGAAU
This 1477-nucleotide long non-coding RNA is filed under the name Callithrix jacchus (white-tufted-ear marmoset). RNAcentral describes it as "lncRNA (ENSCJAG00000011874.5)". The record is from RNAcentral. Lineage: Eukaryota; Metazoa; Chordata; Mammalia; Primates; Cebidae.